This is a long non-coding RNA of Periophthalmus magnuspinnatus, 214 nucleotides long. RefSeq lists it as uncharacterized. The transcript has 3 exons. NCBI's taxonomy places the organism in Eukaryota, Metazoa, Chordata, Actinopteri, Gobiiformes, Gobiidae. The record is from RefSeq and is a predicted model, not a curated record.
GUGCACACAUGUGGACAUAUCCUGUUUGGGACAGGAACCACACUGGACAUAGAGCUGCAGUUGGAGCCAGUGACUGUGGCUCUGUCAGUCCUGUUGUGUGUCUGUGUGCUCGUGAUCAUCGUCCUCUGUGUGAAGAGAGGGAGGCUCUGUGCACACUGCAGAGAUUCUCCAGAUAAUAUUAAUAGUACACAGUGUGAGAUGUCAGAAAAUAUGG